GCACCGCUGAUGAGUCCCAAACAGGACGAAAUAGCAGUCCAGUGC
This 45-nucleotide non-coding RNA is filed under the name Echinostoma caproni. Lineage: Eukaryota; Metazoa; Platyhelminthes; Trematoda; Plagiorchiida; Echinostomatidae. The record is from RNAcentral.